AAUUCUGCCAAGAAAUCUAGGAGCAGAAGAAGAUGUAUGCAAGGGACUUGGAGACGAGGCAAUGGUUUUGAAGCUUUGGGAGCCUGCGACUGGCUCGACAGGUGGCAUCAGCAAGCGCCGGCCGGCCUCGGCACUGCUGUGGGUGGUUAUAUGGUGGGUGGAGCACACCAUUGGGAUUCGACAUCAGGGUACGGUGGCGAGCUAAAUCUUCAGUCCAGCUAGGAUUUUAUUUUUGGUUCACGUUUUGUUACUGUUUUCCAUUCGGGAUUUCAUGGUGAGCAAACCUACCAUUUGCAGUUGUUUGUUUCAGAAAUUCAUGUCCUGACUUCAAAUUUUGGUCGUAAGG
This is a long non-coding RNA of Aegilops tauschii subsp. strangulata, 346 nucleotides long. RefSeq lists it as uncharacterized. The record is from RefSeq and is a predicted model, not a curated record. Lineage: Eukaryota; Viridiplantae; Streptophyta; Magnoliopsida; Poales; Poaceae.